GAGCUUGCUCUUAUGAAGUUAGCGGCGGACGGGUGAGUAACACGUGGGUAACCUGCCCAUAAGACUGGGAUAACUCCGGGAAACCGGGGCUAAUACCGGAUAACAUUUUGAACCGCAUGGUUCGAAAUUGAAAGGCGGCUUCGGCUGUCACUUAUGGAUGGACCCGCGUCGCAUUAGCUAGUUGGUGAGGUAACGGCUCACCAAGGCAACGAUGCGUAGCCGACCUGAGAGGGUGAUCGGCCACACUGGGACUGAGACACGGCCCAGACUCCUACGGGAGGCAGCAGUAGGGAAUCUUCCGCAAUGGACGAAAGUCUGACGGAGCAACGCCGCGUGAGUGAUGAAGGCUUUCGGGUCGUAAAACUCUGUUGUUAGGGAAGAACAAGUGCUAGUUGAAUAAGCUGGCACCUUGACGGUACCUAACCAGAAAGCCACGGCUAACUACGUGCCAGCAGCCGCGGUAAUACGUAGGUGGCAAGCGUUAUCCGGAAUUAUUGGGCGUAAAGCGCGCGCAGGUGGUUUCUUAAGUCUGAUGUGAAAGCCCACGGCUCAACCGUGGAGGGUCAUUGGAAACUGGGAGACUUGAGUGCAGAAGAGGAAAGUGGAAUUCCAUGUGUAGCGGUGAAAUGCGUAGAGAUAUGGAGGAACACCAGUGGCGAAGGCGACUUUCUGGUCUGUAACUGACACUGAGGCGCGAAAGCGUGGGGAGCAAACAGG
RNAcentral lists this ribosomal RNA (717 nucleotides) under Bacillus sp. CUA-851. RNAcentral describes it as "bacterial SSU rRNA". It matches the Rfam family "Bacterial small subunit ribosomal RNA", at positions 76 to 776 of the family's 1533-position model. Lineage: Bacteria; Bacillati; Bacillota; Bacilli; Caryophanales; Bacillaceae. The record is from RNAcentral.